GCCUCAAGCUGGGUUGACCAUGGGGAGAGAGGCGGGACAGGAGGCGGUGGCCAGAUGAGGAAGAGUGGCAGCUACUCUGUCUGUUUAAGGUUGAGUGUUCAUACAGGAAAUGUGUAGAUUCCACACGUACAAUUCAGAGUUUUGGGAAAUGCACACCCGUGUCCCACGUUCCAGGGCAGAAGCUCUCCAGGACUCCAAAACAUUCCUUGGCACCCAUCCAGCCCAUCCUGCAGGGAAUUGCUGUCCUGAUUCCAUCACCACAGUUGGCUUUGGCAGUUCUCAGUUUCUUCCACACGGCAUCCCCACAUGGAGCCUUCUGCCACCUGCCCUCUGUUCCUGGGCACCGUCAUAGAUGGACCAGCCACAGUCUGCCAGUCGCUCUCCUGCUGACGGACGUCCGGCUGCUCCCAGUCCACUCACCAACCGAAGCGGCUGUGAACAUCCAUGUGCGUCUUUCCGAACUUGCGACAUCGCACCCUUACUCAAGAUGUGGUUCCCAGCUUCCGGGGCCUGAGGCAUCACCACCUGGAACUGCGAGAAGGAGAAGGACAUGGUCUGCAACCUGUGUGGGGAGCGCUGCUGUCUAGAAGCUGUCUGUGCAGAAAGUGCUGCCGGACCAGCCAGCGCGGAGGGUGGGAGGACACCUGUGCUUGCUCAUCUCACCAACCCGGAGGUCUCCCUCGGGCAGGGGUCAGGGAACCGCACCGGCCAACCGACGUUGGAUGGAAUGGAAACAAUCCCUCCACGUGCUUCCUUAAUCGUAGCGUAAAAAAUGCAUUGAAAAGACCAAAUGACAGUUGUCUGAAACAUGAAUGUGUUUAACUUUUCCAUAACGAGCAAAGAUGACCGGAUUGGGUUUGGAAACGUGAACACUGCUGUCUGCAAACAUGCAUGGAAGACAACAUAUCUCAAAAGGUUAACAGUGAAACAUAACAAGGAGAAACAAAAUCCAAAAAGGGAAGUGAGGACCCCAGCACUGGUGCUGUCCGGGAAAGGUUCACAGCAAAGCCACAGCUAGGGUCAUUUUUCAUCGACGUGGAUGAGAGCAGACCACAGCGUUGGGCCAUCUUAGCUGCAGUGGCAGAAGGGAAAAACAAAAGAGGCCUCAGACCUCCAUCCACCCCCAACCCCCGGUGACGGAUGGUGGUUAGGAUGGCACUCAGCUAUAGGGGUCCCGAGGUGGGCGAAUAGGUCCUGUAUGUCCCCAGCUCAGGCUGUUGGAUCUAGGGUAGCUUUUGAGGUGGGCAGGUGGGGCUGGCCUCACAGGGGAGCUGGUGAGGGCUGGAAGGGGGCUGGGGAGACACCUGGGACCCCCACAGUCUGCUAGACCCCAGUGCUCCCUCAGAUCCCCUGGGUCCCUGUCCCGUCGAGGAUGCUUCCUGGGAGGGAACUGCAGCCAGAGGCUCCCAAGGAGAGGCCCAAGCCUGGCACUGCCCCCACGGUUCUGGAUCAGGGUGGAUGGUUGCAGGGGAAGACCCUCCUGACAGGCCUGAGGUCUUAGGGCUCUGCGCCUCCGGCCAAUCCCCUGCCUUCUUGAGGCCAGUGGGUCCCAGCUCCUCCUGCACCAGGACAGGAGGGGCCAGGAAAGCGCAGGAGCCUGCUUUGACCUAGGAGUCAGGGAGCCAUGCUGGGGACGGCCCAGGAAGGAUUGGGGUCUCUGAUCACUCAGAGCAUCGGGGUGACUGGCUUCGCCCUCCUAUCUGGAUACUUAGUGUGAUGAUCUGAAACAUUACUUUUCUAAACCGGGAACAAGCAUGGGCCUGAUGGGCUAAGGUUUCUUUCCUAACUAUUUUUUCAAAGUCGAGCUGCUCUGUAUGGGGAGCACCCAGAACAAAAGGGGGUCCUAGCAUCUCCUCCUGACCUGGAGUCCACAGGUGAGAAGCACAGUGCGGCCACCAGCUUGGAGGAUGGUUCAGGGAUCAAGGCACUUCCCUUCUUGAAGCAGGUGAUACUGUUUGGCUCCGUGUCCCCACCCACAUCUCAUCUCAAAUUGUAAUCCCCACGUGUUGAGGGAGGGAGGUGGCUGGAUCCCGGGGGUGGCCUCCCCCGUGCUGUUCUUGUGAUAGUGAGUGAGUUCACUUGUGAUCUGACAGCUUUGUAAGUAUUUGGAAGUUCCUCCUUCAUGCUUCUCUCUCCUGCUGCCAUGUGAAGAAGGACGUGUUUGCUUCCCCUUCUGCCGCGAUUGUAAGUUUCCUGAGACCUCCUCAGCCAUGUGGAACUGUAAGUCAAUGGAAUCUCUUUUAGUUAUAAAUCACCCAGUCUUGGCUGGGCUUGGUGGCUCACGCCUGUAAUCCCAGCACUUUGGGAGGCCAAGGAGAGCAGAUCACUAGGUCAGGAGAUCAAGACCAUCUAACAUGUUAAACCCCGUCUCUACUAAAAAUGCAAAAAAAAUUAGCGGGGCAUUGUGGCAGGUACCUGUAAUCCAGCUACUCGGGAGGCUGAGGCAGGAGAAUGGCGUGAACCCGGGAGGCGGAGCUUGCAGUGAGCCUGGAUCGCGCCACUGCACUCCAGCCUGGGUAACAGAGCAAGACUCUGUCUCAAAAAAAAAAAAAAAAAAAAUCACCCAGUCUUGGGCAGUUCUUUAGAGCAGUGUGAGAAUGGCUGAAUGCACAGGAAGCUCACAUUCAUGGCUUCUCACAUCCCUUCAGGAAGAGGGUCUUGGACACACUCUGGACACAGCAGCCCUAAGGCCCCUUGGCUGAGGUGUUUUAGUACCAAAUCUAGAGCCUUGGGCUGGUCCUCUUGGGUUGACCUUGUUGGAUCUGGCCGGCCCCAGCCCAUCCAGGCCUGAUUUGCUCCUGACCCCGAAGCCUGGGGAGUCAGAGUCCCAGCUGCUGGGAGGAGUGGGAGGGAGAGGGAGAGAUGUGGGUGGCCAGAGAGCCCCCGAGGGGCUCCAGUGGGGAUGCAGGGGCUCAGCCAGCAUUGCCAUCCCGACACACGGGGUGCUUGGAGAUGAACCAGGGCUGGGACCUGACGGUGGGGUCUCGGUGCCUGGGAGGCAGGGGUGGCUGUGACAGGGCAGGGGGCUGUUGCAGGGGUUUGCCCAGAGUCCUGCCAGCCUGGAAAAGGUAGUUUUGCUGUUGAAUUGUCUGAUUAUUUGGGGCCGAGCGGCCUCCAGGGCUGAGGCAGGAGGUGCACAUGGGGGCUGGGGGCUGGGGGCCGGGGAGCAGGAGCCCCAGGGGCUGGGGCUGAGCCGGAGCUUGGCCAAGUGUCAGUCCAGCGGGAGGUGUGAGGGCCAUGCUGACUAGCCGUGGGAGUGUGUGUCCCUCCUGUGCCUCAGUUUCUACAAGAUGAGAGGCUGGGACCUUGGAGUCGGCCCCCACAGGAAGUGUGAGGUGCAAUGUGAGGC
Molecule: long non-coding RNA, 3349 nt
Organism: Macaca mulatta (Rhesus monkey)
Lineage: Eukaryota; Metazoa; Chordata; Mammalia; Primates; Cercopithecidae
Source: Ensembl